RNAcentral lists this ribosomal RNA (249 nucleotides) under uncultured bacterium. RNAcentral describes it as "partial 16S ribosomal RNA". It matches the Rfam family "Bacterial small subunit ribosomal RNA", at positions 524 to 776 of the family's 1533-position model. The record is from RNAcentral.
GACAGAGGAUGCAAGCGUUAUCCGGAGUGAUUGGGCGUAAAGCGUCUGUAGGUGGCUUUUAAGUCCGCCGUCAAAUCCCAGGGCUCAACCCUGGACAGGCGGUGGAAACUACCAAGCUGGAGUACGGUAGGGCAGAGGGAAUUUCCGGUGGAGCGGUGAAAUGCGUAGAGAUCGGAAAGAACACCAACGGCGAAAGCACUCUGCUGGCCGACACUGACACUGAGAGACGAAAGCUAGGGAGCGAAUGGG